CGAAGAUUGGAGGGGAUGAGUCAGGGGCAAGGAAGGAUUAACAGAUUCUGCCUCAAGGCCUGGUGAACCAAGUCCUCUCCCCAAGACAGACACAUACUAGUGAAAUAAAUUGGAUUUAAAUCAUCACCUGAGGCAAUCCUGAAAGAGAAAAGCAGUCCUAGAAAAGAGUGGAGGAAAAGAGGACAGCCCCAUUCUCUUUGUGACCACGAAGACUGCCACCAUGUGGAUGGGAGCCACGUGACUUCUUUUAGUGCCAGCUGAGAUUCUUCUGCCCUGGAACUAGUUCCUCCGAGUUAUUGCCAGGCCUGGAGAUUGAAUUCCUGCACCUGGAAGGUGGGGAAAGUUGCCAGAGCGAAGGAAGUAAAAGCAUCCACUAUGAGAUUCACCAGAGGGGUUUGACCAGCUUUAGAAGGAGAAUCCUGGACAACAACACAUGCAGCUGUGAAGGCCACAAGUGUGACACUGACAGUCAACUGAAAUGGAAGGAAUGUGAAGAUGCUGUCGUAAACAUUUCUACCUCAUGUGACAGCUUUAACAAUACUUGCAAGGUCGUCAUCGUUUCAGACAUAACCCCUCAAAACCAAAGCGGAACCUCUUCAAGGAGCUGAGAGAUGCAAGCCUGAUCUCCCACUUUUGAAGUCCAUGCCGUC
RNAcentral lists this long non-coding RNA (650 nucleotides) under Pan troglodytes (chimpanzee). RNAcentral describes it as "long non-coding RNA NONPTRT016977". Lineage: Eukaryota; Metazoa; Chordata; Mammalia; Primates; Hominidae. The record is from RNAcentral.